This 480-nucleotide ribosomal RNA is filed under the name uncultured bacterium. RNAcentral describes it as "partial 16S ribosomal RNA". It matches the Rfam family "Bacterial small subunit ribosomal RNA", at positions 28 to 507 of the family's 1533-position model. The record is from RNAcentral.
GAUGAACGCUGGCGGCGUGCUUAACACACGCAAGUCGAACGGAACUACUCCAAUGAGAGUCUUCGGAAAGGAUUUGGUUUAGUUUAGUGGCGGACGGGUGAGUAACGCGUGGGUAACCUGCCCUAUACAGGGGGAUAACAGUUGGAAACGACUGUUAAUACCGCAUAAGCGCACAGGAGCGCAUGCUCCGGUGUGAAAAACUCCGGUGGUAUAGGAUGGACCCGCGUCUGAUUAGCUGGUUGGCGGGGUAACGGCCCACCAAGGCGACGAUCAGUAGCCGGCCUGAGAGGGUGAACGGCCACAUUGGGACUGAGACACGGCCCAAACUCCUACGGGAGGCAGCAGUGGGGAAUAUUGCACAAUGGGGGAAACCCUGAUGCAGCGACGCCGCGUGAGCGAAGAAGUAUCUCGGUAUGUAAAGCUCUAUCAGCAGGGAAGAAAAUGACGGUACCUGACUAAGAAGCCCCGGCUAACUACGUG